UAAUACCGCAUAUUCUGUGAGCAGGAAAGCAGGGGACCGCAAGGCCUUGCGCUCUUUGAGCGGCCGAUGUCAGAUUAGCUAGUUGGUGAGGUAAAGGCUUACCAAGGCGACGAUCUGUAGCGGGUCUGAGAGGAUGAUCCGCCACACUGGAACUGAGACACGGUCCAGACUCCUACGGGAGGCAGCAGUGGGGAAUUUUGGACAAUGGGGGCAACCCUGAUCCAGCCAUGCCGCGGGAGUGAAGAAGGCCUUCGGGUUGUAAAGCUCUUUCGGCCGGGAAGAAAUCGCAUGGGCCAAUACCCUGUGUGGAUGACGGUACCGGAAUAAGAAGCACCGGCUAACUACGUGCCAGCAGCCGCGGUAAUACGUAGGGUGCGAGCGUUAAUCGGAAUUACUGGGCGUAAAGCGUGCGCAGGCGGUUUUGUAAGACAGGCGUGAAAUCCCCGGGCUUAACCUGGGAACUGCGUUUGUGACUGCAAGGCUAGAGUACGGCAGAGGGGGGUGGAAUUCCACGUGUAGCAGUGAAAUGCGUAGAGAUGUGGAGGAACACCAAUGGCGAAGGCAGCCCCCUGGGUCGAUACUGACGCUCAUGCACGAAAGCGUGGGUAGCAAACAGGAUUAGAUACCCUGGUAGUCCACGCCCUAAACUAUGUCAACUAGGUGUUGGGUGGGUAAAACCAUUUAGUACCGUAGCUAACGCGUGAAGUUGACCGCCUGGGGAGUACGGCCGCAAGGUUAAAACUCAAAGGAAUUGACGGGAACCCGCACAAGCGGUGGAUGAUGUGGAUUAAUUCGAUGCAACGCGAAAAACCUUACCUACCCUUGACAUGCCAGGAACUUGCCAGAGAUGGCUUGGUGCCCGAAAGGGAGCCUGGACACAGGUGCUGCAUGGCUGUCGUCAGCUCGUGUCGUGAGAUGUUGGGUUAAGUCCCGCAACGAGCGCAACCCUUGUCGUUAAUUGCCAUCAUUUAGUUGGGCACUUUAACGAGACUGCCGGUGACAAACCGGAGGAAGGUGGGGAUGACGUCAAGUCCUCAUGGCCCUUAUGGGUAGGGCUUCACACGUCAUACAAUGGUCGGUACAAAGGGUUGCCAAGCCGCGAGGCGGAGCCAAUCCCAGAAAGCCGAUCGUAGUCCGGAUUGCAGGCUGCAACUCGCCUGCAUGAAGUCGGAAUCGCUAGUAAUCGUGGAUCAGCAUGUCACGGUGAAUACGUUCCCGGGUCUUGUACACACCGCCCGUCACACCAUGGGAGCGGGUUCCGCCAGAAGUAGGUAGCCUAACCGCAAGGGGGGCGCUUACCACGGCGGGGUUCGUGACUGGGGUGAAGUCGUAACAAGGUA
RNAcentral lists this ribosomal RNA (1340 nucleotides) under metagenome. Its description in RNAcentral is "bacterial SSU rRNA". It matches the Rfam family "Bacterial small subunit ribosomal RNA", at positions 164 to 1498 of the family's 1533-position model. The record is from RNAcentral.